Molecule: ribosomal RNA, 1644 nt
Filed under: Proasellus racovitzai
Lineage: Eukaryota; Metazoa; Arthropoda; Malacostraca; Isopoda; Asellidae
Description: bacterial LSU rRNA
Rfam family: Bacterial large subunit ribosomal RNA
Source: RNAcentral
UUAGGGGUGAAAGGCCAAUCAAACUCGGAAAUAGCUCGUACUCCCCGAAAUGCAUUUAGGUGCAGCGUUAGUUAUAAAGUUAUAUAGAGGUAGAGCUACUGAUUGGAUGCGGGGGCUUCACCGCCUACCAAUUCCUGACAAACUCCGAAUGCUAUAUAAUGUUUACCAGCAGUGAGGGCUUGGGUGCUAAGGUCCAAGUCCGAGAGGGAAAGAACCCAGACCAUCAGCUAAGGUCCCCAAAUCUAUACUAAGUUGAAAGAACGAGGUUUGUCUGCCCAGACAGCUAGGAUGUUGGCUUGGAAGCAGCCAUUCAUUUAAAGAGUGCGUAACAGCUCACUGGUCGAGGGUUCGGGCGCGGAAAAUGAUCGGGCAUCAAACGUAGUACCGAAGCUAUAGGAUUAUACUCUAGGAGUAUAAUCGGUAGGAGAGCAUUCUAAUCAGCGUCGAAGGUGUACUGUGAGGUAUGCUGGAGCGAUUAGAAAAGAAAAUGUAGGAAUGAGUAACGAUAAUUAAGGUGAAAAACCUUAACGCCGAAAGACUAAGGGUUCCUGAUCAACGUUAAUCGGAUCAGGGUUAGUCGGGUACUUAGGCGAAGCCGAAGGGCGUAGCUGAUGUCAAACUGGUUAAUAUUCCAGUACGUGUAUUAAAUUCGAUGGAGUAACGCAGGAGUGAAAGGUCCGCGAACUGACGGAAUAGUUCGUUAAAGGGCGUAGUUAUAAGAUUUAUAGGCAAAUCCGUAGAUCUUGAUGAAACCUGAUAGUACAACAAAGCCUCGGCUAAGUUGAUAGUGACCGUAACCAGACUGCCGAGAAAAACUUCUAAGGUUCGUUUAAUACACCCCGUACCGUAAACCGACACAGGUAGUUGAGGAGAGAAUCCUAAGGUGCUCGAGAGAUUCAUGGCUAAGGAAUUAGGCAAAAUAGACCUGUAACUUCGGGAGAAAGGUCGCCCACAGCAAUGUGGGCCGCAGUGAAGAGGUCCAGGCGACUGUUUAUCAAAAACACAGGGCUCUGCAAAAUCGUAAGAUGAAGUAUAGGGCCUGACACCUGCCCGGUGCUGGAAGGUUAAGAGGAGAUGUUAUCUUCGGAGAAGCAUUGAAUUGAAGCCCCAGUAAACGGCGGCCGUAACAAUAACGGUCCUAAGGUAGCGAAAUUCCUUGUCGGGUAAGUUCCGACCUGCACGAAUGGCGUAACGACUUCUCCGGUGUCUCAACCAAGGGCCUCGCGAAAUUGAAUUCUCGGUGAAAAUGCCGAGUACCCGCAGAAAGACGGAAAGACCCCGUGAACCUUUACUGUAGCUUGACAGUGAUUUUAGAGUUUUUAUGUGUAGGAUAGGUGGGAGCCUUUGAAGCUGAGUCGCUAGGUUUAGUGGAGGCAACCUUGAAAUACCACCCUUAAAAACUUUGAAGUCUAACCUGCUCUUCUUAGCGAAGAGAGGGACACUGUCUGGUGGGCAGUUUGACUGGGGCGGUCGCCUCCCAAAGUGUAACGGAGGCGCGCGAUGGUCCCCUCAGCCUGAUUGGAAACCAGGCGUCGAGUGCAUUGGCAUAAGGGGGCUUGACUGCAAGACUUACAAGUCGAGCAGGUGCGAAAGCAGGCCAAAGUGAUCCGGUGGUCCCGCGUGGAAGGGCCAUCGCUCAACGGA